UUAACUUAUUUAGUUAUAGAUUCAGAAUAACAUAGAAUUAACAGAGUUUCAUGGGCCACCGGCAGGUCGUGUCUACCCGGUAGGGUCCUACAGGGUAGGACCUCACCGGGUAGACACAACCUGCCGAGGCAACAGAAGGUAAGUUCACAUGGGUUUAGGGAGUUGUAAUAACUCUUUAAUGAUCCCUCCGCUGGUUCACCAACGGAGA
Molecule: unclassified non-coding RNA, 208 nt
Filed under: uncultured fungus
Lineage: Eukaryota; Fungi
Description: sequence contains ITS1
Source: RNAcentral